Molecule: ribosomal RNA, 468 nt
Filed under: uncultured bacterium
Lineage: Bacteria
Description: partial 16S ribosomal RNA
Rfam family: Bacterial small subunit ribosomal RNA
Source: RNAcentral
GACGAACGCUGGCGGCGUGCUUAACACAUGCAAGUCGAACGGAAAGGCCCUGCUUUUGUGGGGUGCUCGAGUGGCGAACGGGUGAGUAACACGUGAGAAACCUGCCCUUGACUUUGGGAUAACUUCAGGAAACUGGGGCUAAUACCGGAUAGGAGCUCCUGCUGCAUGGUGGGGGUUGGAAAGUUUCGGCGGUUGGGGAUGGACUCGCGGCUUAUCAGCUUGUUGGUGGGGUAGUGGCUUACCAAGGCUUUGACGGGUAGCCGGCCUGAGAGGGUGACCGGCCACAUUGGGACUGAGAUACGGCCCAGACUCCUACGGGAGGCAGCAGUGGGGAAUAUUGCACAAUGGGCGGAAGCCUGAUGCAGCAACGCCGCGUGCGGGAUGACGGCCUUCGGGUUGUAAACCGCUUUCGCCUGCGACGAAGCGUGAGUGACGGUAAUGGGUAAAGAAGCACCGGCUAACUACGUG